This 279-nucleotide long non-coding RNA is filed under the name Lathyrus oleraceus (garden pea). RNAcentral describes it as "Pisum sativum (pea) long non-coding RNA (PSAT_LNC030414)". Lineage: Eukaryota; Viridiplantae; Streptophyta; Magnoliopsida; Fabales; Fabaceae. The record is from RNAcentral.
GGGUUUUGGCCAAAACCCCUUUGAUUACAAACAAGGCCAUAAACUAUGUAUAGUAAAAAUGAAGAGAUGGGAGGAUAAGGACCCCUCACUAUCUUGACUAUCCAUAAGCAUCUAUUAGUAAAAAAAAAAAAAACCCUUACCUCGAAAUAGACGUUCUUCCCAAAUCCUUGGUGUAUCCCAAUUCUUCACGUCUCUUCACGAUAAUAUUUUUUUUCUUCCCAAUUUCCUUUUGUCUGUAUCUUUUCUUUUUAUUUUUAUUGUUGGAUACCUUUCCCUUUU